UGAAUACGAGACGCUAAGGCGUCGAAGUAGUGUAUGUCAUACUUCCAAGAAAAGCUUGCACUGUCAUAGAUAAAAAACGCCUGUACCAUAACCGACACAGUUGGGUAGGUAGAGUAUACUAAGGGGCGCGAGAUAACUCUCUCUAAGGAACUCGGCAAAAUAACUCCGUAACUUCGGGAGAAGGAGUGCCUUAUUCGUAAGGUUGCAAUAACAAGAUCCAAGCAACUGUUUAUCAAAAACACAGGUCUCCGCUAAGUCGUAAGACGAUGUAUGGGGGCUGACGCCUGCCCAGUGCCAGAAGGUUAAAGAAGUUGGUUAGCAAUUGCGAAGCUGAUAACUGAAGCCCUGGUGAACGGCGGCCGUAACUAUAACGGUCCUAAUGUAGCGAAAUUCCUUGUCGGGUAAGUUCCGACCCGCACGAAAGGCGUAAUGAUUUGGAUACUGUCUCGGAGAGGGGCUCGGUGAAAUAGACUUGUCUGUGAAGAUGCGGACUACCUGCACCAGGACAGAAAGACCCUAUGAAGCUUUACUGUAACUUGAAAUUGAAAUUGGACUUUAUUCGCGCAGUAUAGGUGGGAGGCGUUGAUUAUAAUCUUGUGGGAUUAUUGGAGCCAUCAGUGAGAUACCACUCUUGUAAUGUUAGAUUUCUAACUUUGAAUCAUUACCUGGUCAAAGAACAGUUUCAGGCGGGCAGUUUGACUGGGGCGGUCGCCUCCUAAACGGUAACGGAGGCGUACAAAGGUUUCCUCUGAACGGUUAGAAAUCGUAUCUAGAGUGUAAAGGCAUAAGGAAGCUUGACUGUGAGACCUACAAGUCGAGCAGGGACGAAAGUCGGUCUUAGUGAUCUGACGGUACUGAGUGGAAAGGCCGUCACUCAACGGAUAAAAGUUACUCUAGGAUAACAGGCUGAUCUCCCCCAAGAGUUCACAUCGACGGGGAGGUUUGGCACCUCGAUGUCGGCUCAUCGCAUCCUGGGGCGGUAGUACGUCCCAAGGGUUGGGCUGUUCGCCCAUGAAAGCGGUACGCGAGCUGGGUUCAGAACGUCGUGAGACAGUUCGGUCCAUAUCCGGUGUAGGCGUUAGAAUAUUGAGAGGAGCCUUCUUUAGUACGAGAGGACCGAGAAGGACAUACCUCUGGUGUACCAGUUAUCGUGCCAACGGUAAACGCUGGGUAGCUAUGUAUGGAGUGGAUAACCGCUGAAAGCAUCUAAGUGGGAAGCCCACCUCAAGAUAAGUAUUCUC
RNAcentral lists this ribosomal RNA (1241 nucleotides) under metagenome. RNAcentral's name for it is "bacterial LSU rRNA". It matches the Rfam family "Bacterial large subunit ribosomal RNA", at positions 1564 to 2815 of the family's 2925-position model. The record is from RNAcentral.